AUGGGCCUGCCAAGAUCAGUCAUGGCGGGUGUGAGGGAUGUUUUUGCAGUAAGUAUAGCUGGGUGCGUGUGUUCUCUUGCUCCCUAUGGAGAUAUAGGCGAUGGCGGUUGUGGGGGCGUGAGCUUUAUUCGAUUGGCAGAGAUGAAGGCGGUGGUGUUCUUGUUGGCCUGCUCUUGUUGUUAUCUUGGUUAUGGUGAGUUGCUUCUGUUGCCGGCGCUUCAUCUUUGCAUCGGCUUUCUUCGAUCGGUGGGUUGUGAAGGCGUGGAGAGCGGCGUUCGGUUGCGGGGUUUCCUUGGGUUGUUCGUCUUAUUGCUACGCAUCUGA
This 324-nucleotide ribosomal RNA is filed under the name Triticum aestivum (bread wheat). Its description in RNAcentral is "partial small subunit ribosomal RNA". Lineage: Eukaryota; Viridiplantae; Streptophyta; Magnoliopsida; Poales; Poaceae. The record is from RNAcentral.